GAGACAGGGUUUUUCUGUAUAGCCCUGGCUGUCCUGGAACUUACUCUGUAGACCAGGCUGGCCUCGAAUUCAGAAAUCUGCCUGCCUCUGCCUCCCGAGUGCUGGGAUUAAAGGCGUGCGCCACCACACAUUUGAAUACAGAAGAGAAUGUGAAAUGGUCUAAUUUUUAAAAGAGCUUUACAACUUAGUGAUUUUUUUUUCCUUUUUAAAAAACACAAUCUCACAUAGCUUAAGCUGUAGCUUACUCUGAGCUCACUGUGUGGGGGAAGAAUACCUUGAACUUCUGAUCUUUGUGCCUUUACUUCUUGAGUGUUGGAAUUACAGGUAUGCCUGUUUAUCAUAGUGAUGGAGGCAAAUAUAGGGCUUCGUGCAUACUGGGCAAACACUACCAACUGAGCUGCAGCCCUGACUCAUUAGUUUAUUUCACCAAUAUAACUUGAAAAAUAAGAGGACAGAGGGCUUUCAAUUACGUAGAAUUUGUUCACAGAACCCACUAACUUACAUGUUCUGUUUUAAUGUUAAAACGGAAAUUCAUAUUCCUUAAUAUCCUUUCAUAUAUUUCUGGCGCUAUGCUAAAAAAAAUAAAACAACCAACAACAAAAAAAGGGCAGUGGUGGCACAUGCCUUUAAUCCCAGCACCUGGGAGGCAGAGGCAGGUGGAUUUCUGAGUUCGAGGCCAGCCUGGUCUACAGAGUGAGUUCCAGGACAGCCAGGGCUACACAGAGAAACUCUCUCUCAAAAAAACCAAAAAACCUUAUUAGGUAAUAGGAAUGCAAACCAGGGCUGGGCAUGGUGGUACCUGCUUUCAUCCUAGCAUCCAGGAAGAAGCAGGCAGAACUUUGUGAGUUAGAAGCCAGCCAAUAGAUGGAGCCAUCUGAAGACCAAACUUAGUGCUUUGUACACACAAACAUGGCAUGAUUACACUUCGCCAGAUCUCAUUAAAAUUUUGAAAUUGUGUGCUGGGAGGUUAAGAGUCCAUUCCAGCACUCACCUUCGAACUCACAACCAUCCAGGGAAUCUAGAAACCUCUUAUGACAUUUAUUGGCGCCUAUACAUAAACAAACAUAUGCUUUGCCCCUCUCUCAAGGAGCUCAUAAAGUUUUAGUCUAAAAAUAUAUUAAGCUCAGUUAAGGGCAGAACUGUCUUUCUUCCAUUCAUUUUGGAGAUACUCUGUAGGCACAAGUAUCUUUAGAAGAUCUUGUUACUAUGUUUUCAGGGUCAUGACACUCAAUAGAUGAUAUAAAACUUUAUAUUCUGAAUUUGUGCCUGAGUAUAUGUGCAGCACAUUCAUGCAGAUGCUCAUGAAGGCAAGAGGGUGUCAGAACUCCUGGAACUGUAAUUUGUGAGACAUCAAAUUUAGGUACUGUGAUUUGUGCAAGAGCAAGGACUCUUAACUGAUCUGUCAUCUUCCCCGUCCCUAACAGACUUUACUUCUAAAUACAUGGGCAAUUGCACAUGUCCCUGUCGUAGCCUAUUACACCGGGGAUCAGACGCUAAGUCAAAUUCUAAGGGACUAAGCAACCUACCAGUUCUAUAAUUUAACAAGAUAUUCAUUUAACCAUUACACUACAACUACUGUGUACAUGCCAAGCAGAAGAAAAGGCCCAAUUCAUGUAACACCAUCUGGCUACUAAGUGCAGCUUGCUGGUGUGUGAAUGUCUUUUGCUGCAGCGAAGAGGAGCUAGAAAGUAGAUUGUAAUCAGCUUUUGGAGAGAGGGCGUUAUAAAUCUUGAAGGUGAUUUCUCUACUUCUAUUGGUUGACUACCACUUUCUAAGUCAUAUGAUAACAUUAUACAUUCAUUCACAAUUAUUUUCUUAAAAAAAAAAGCGAAUUGGCUGGGCAGUGGUGGCCAUGCACACCUUUAUUCCCAGCACUCAGUGGGCAGAGGCAGGCAGGAAAUCAAGACCAGCCUGGUUUAUAGAGCAAAUUCUCAGACAGCCAGGAUUAGACUGAAAUCCUGUCUUGAAAACAAUAAAACAAGCCCGGUAGUGGUGGCGCACAACUUUAAUCCUAGCACUUGGGAGGCAGAGGCAGGUGGGCUGACAAGUUUGGGGUCAAGCUGGUCUACAAGGUAAAACUGUCUUAAAAAGCCACUUUAUUCUAAAACUGUAAUAUAUCUACCGUAAUAACAGUACCAUAUGGCCCAGGCAGAUUAACUGUUCUGGAAGGGAAAUAACCCUAGAAAGCCCUGUAUCCUAUAUGCUUAGGAUCAACAAGGUAGUAUUCAGUUCUUGGAACUUAGAAUAGCAGUGGUCUAUGUGUGUAUUGUAACAUGCCCAGGCACCACCACAGGUUGGCACUAGGAAUCAGAGAUCAGUACCUCUGUUACUAAGUACCACUUACAGUUAAGUAGUAUCAGUACUGAUAGGUCAGAUUCUGGUCUAAGGCUUCCUAUGUGGGGCAGAGGGGCUUGGGAAUCAUUCUUUACGUUUACUAUUGUGUUUGUCCAAGAAAUGUUUUUGUCUAGAUUGCUUUUCAUUCUGGACAAGCAUGUGAAAAUCUGUGUGUGUAUAAGGAUUAAGAACUGUUGACUUGUGAGCUAUGAACACGAACUCCAAAAAUCUUGGUACAUUUUUCUUGGAGAGAGGAGUUGAUCAAUGAUUACACUGUAAAGACAAAACAGAGAUAAUUAUUGCAGCAUAGAUAUAUACAUCUGCAGCCUUAAAAACAUAUGCAGUUCUAGGCCAGGAAUGGUGGUACAUACCUUUAAUUCCAGUAACUAGGAUGUGUUCUGAGACAUGAUCUUGGAAUGCUUGACUCAGCUCUUAACUGAAGCUUUCGGUCCCGGUAUGUUUAUGAAAUCAUGCACAGAUGGUAUGCUUUAAACAGAACUUUUGUCACCAGGUCUGUAUGACAAUGAUUGCUGCACCUCUUUGGGAUAUGUGCAGAAAACUUAAAAUACUCAAAAAUGUAAUUUUCUUCCUGCUUUUCCUUGAUCCAAGUAGCAGUUCCUGUACAGUGGACUAAGGUUAAACAAACCUGUUAUAUUUUCAGCUCCUCUUCUUGUUAAAGGAUACCGUCAACCUCGUUCUUAGGGUUUUUAUUGUUCCUGUAUAACAGUGUAUGUGAGUUCAGGUAAGGUCAGGGAACAACUUUCCAGAGGUUUUCCUUGUAAUGUGGGUUCUGGGGUUCAAACAAAUCAGGUUUACCUUCUGAGUUACCUGGACAGCCU
Molecule: long non-coding RNA, 3173 nt
Filed under: Mus spretus (western wild mouse)
Lineage: Eukaryota; Metazoa; Chordata; Mammalia; Rodentia; Muridae
Description: predicted gene, 26981 (ENSMSPG00010012904.1)
Source: RNAcentral